RNAcentral lists this long non-coding RNA (327 nucleotides) under Homo sapiens (human). RNAcentral's name for it is "HSALNT0291357". Lineage: Eukaryota; Metazoa; Chordata; Mammalia; Primates; Hominidae. The record is from RNAcentral.
GUCCCCGACCGCCCGCCCGCCGCCGGGCUUGGGUCCCUGUACCCAGGUCGGCUGUGCGUGGCCGUGACACUUCGGGUGCCUGUUCCUGGGUCCCCGGGGAGGGGGAUCUCAUUCCUGCCCCUACGCUGGGCGCCCCCAGCACCGUCGCUCAGCGAGGUGGGCGCUCCUCCGGGACCCCGGCGGCCGCCCGCGGGCGGCGACCUCGGCCCUCCUGGGUCCGCGCGGGGGCGGGGAGCUCGGUCCCCCUCCCUCUUCCUCUCCCUCUCCCUCUCCCUGCUCGGCUGCCCUGCGCGGGGGCGGGGGCGGGGGCGGAGCGCGCGGGCGGGA